Molecule: ribosomal RNA, 208 nt
Filed under: uncultured bacterium
Lineage: Bacteria
Description: partial 16S ribosomal RNA
Rfam family: Bacterial small subunit ribosomal RNA
Source: RNAcentral
CGGACUGUAGGCUGCAACUCGCCUACACGAAGUCGGAAUCGCUAGUAAUCGCGGAUCAGCAUGCCGCGGUGAAUACGUUCCCGGGCCUUGUACACACCGCCCGUCACACCAUAAGAGUUUGUAACGCCCAAAGUCGGUGGCCUAACCUUUAUGGAGGGAGCCGCCUAAGGCGGGACAGAUGACUGGGGUGAAGUCGUAACAAGGUAGC